Molecule: ribosomal RNA, 253 nt
Filed under: uncultured bacterium
Lineage: Bacteria
Also listed under: 1 other name
Description: partial 16S ribosomal RNA
Rfam family: Bacterial small subunit ribosomal RNA
Source: RNAcentral
UACGUAGGUGGCAAGCGUUGUCCGGAUUUACUGGGCGUAAAGAGCGCGCAGGCGGUCGGAUAAGUCGAGUGUGAAAGCCCCUGGCUCAACCAGGGAGGGUCAUUCGAUACUGUUCGACUCGAAGGCAGGAGAGGGAAGUGGAAUUCCGGGUGUAGUGGUGAAAUGCGUAGAUAUCCGGAGGAACACCAGUGGCGAAGGCGACUUUCUGGCCUGUUCUUGACGCUGAGGCGCGAAAGCUAGGGGAGCAAACGGG